GUUACUGCUAUCGGAGUUCGAUUAAGCCAUGCGAGUCUAAAGGUUUCCUCGGAAACCUUGGCGGACUGCUCAGUAACACGUGGAUAACCUACCCUUGGGACUGGAAUAACCCCGGGAAACUGGGGAUAAUACCGGAUAGAUCAGGGAUGCUGGAAUGCACCUUGAUCCAAAGCUCCGGCGCCCAAGGAUGGGUCUGCGGCCUAUCAGGUAGUAGUGGGUGUAACGUACCUACUAGCCAACGACGGGUACGGGUUGUGAGAGCAAGAGCCCGGAGAUGGAUUCUGAGACACGAAUCCAGGCCCUACGGGGUGCAGCAGGCGCGAAAACUUUACAAUGUGCGAAAGCAUGAUAAGGGAACUCCGAGUGCCAACAUCUAAUGUUGGCUGUCCUUGUGCCUAAAACGCACAAGAUAGCAAGGGCCGGGUAAGACCGGUGCCAGCCGCCGCGGUAACACCGGCGGCCCGAGUGGUAGCCACUAUUAUUGGGUCUAAAGGGUCCGUAGCCGGUUCGAUAAGUCCUCUGGGAAUCUGGUUGCUUAACAAUCAGACUGCCAAGGGAUACUGUCGAACUUGAGACCGGGAGAGGUAAGAGGUACUUCAGGGGUAGGAGUGAAAUCUUGUAAUCCCUGGGGGACCAUCUGUGGCGAAGGCGUCUUACCAGAACGGGUCUGACGGUGAGGGACGAAAGCUGGGGGCGCAAACCGGAUUAGAUACCCGGGUAGUCCCAGCCGUAAACGAUGCUCGCUAUGUGUCAGGUACGGUGUGACCGUAUCUGGUGCCGUAGGGAAGCCGUGAAGCGAGCCACCUGGGAAGUACGGCCGCAAGGCUGAAACUUAAAGGAAUUGGCGGGGGAGCACUAC
This 859-nucleotide ribosomal RNA is filed under the name uncultured archaeon. RNAcentral's name for it is "bacterial SSU rRNA". It matches the Rfam family "Archaeal small subunit ribosomal RNA", at positions 23 to 882 of the family's 1478-position model. The record is from RNAcentral.